UACGUAGGUGGCAAGCGUUAUCCGGAAUUAUUGGGCGUAAAGAGCGCGCAGGUGGUUGAUUAAGUCUGAUGUGAAAGCCCACGGCUUAACCGUGGAGGGUCAUUGGAAACUGGUCGACUUGAGUGCAGAAGAGGGAAGUGGAAUUCCAUGUGUAGCGGUGAAAUGCGUAGAGAUAUGGAGGAACACCAGUGGCGAAGGCGGCUUCAUGGUCUGUAACUGACACUGAGGCGCGAAAGCGUGGGGAGCAAACAGGAUUAGA
Molecule: ribosomal RNA, 259 nt
Filed under: uncultured prokaryote
Description: partial 16S ribosomal RNA
Rfam family: Bacterial small subunit ribosomal RNA
Source: RNAcentral